This 132-nucleotide small nucleolar RNA is filed under the name Otolemur garnettii (small-eared galago). RNAcentral describes it as "small Cajal body-specific RNA 17 (ENSOGAG00000022671.2)". Lineage: Eukaryota; Metazoa; Chordata; Mammalia; Primates; Galagidae. The record is from RNAcentral.
GCCUCAGUUCAUCUAAGAAAUGGGCCCUUGCCCGCAAUAUUUUCCUUAUAUGAUCAGGUUCCAUUGCUGCUUGCCUGGAGCCUGAGAUGAUUAUGAAAAUGUGGCAGGCAAAGUGGGGCCAGGGACCCGGAG